CCUACGGGUGGCAGCAGUGAGGAAUAUUGGUCAAUGGGCGCGAGCCUGAACCAGCCAAGUAGCGUGAAGGAUGACUGCCCUACGGGUUGUAAACUUCUUUUAUAAAGGAAUAAAGUGAGGCACGUGUGCCUUUCUGUAUGUAUUUUAUGAAUAAGGAUCGGCUAACUCCGUACCAGCAGCCGCGGUAAUACGGAGGAUCCGAGCGUUUUCCGGAUUUAUGGGGUUUAAGGGGAGCGUAGAUGGGUUGUUAAGUCAGUUGUGAAAGUUUGCGGCUAAACCGUAAAAUUGCAAUUGAUACUGGCAGCCUUGAGUGCAGUUGCGGUAGGCGGAAUGCGUGGUGUAGCGGUGAAAUGCUUAGAUAUCACGAAGAACUCCGAUUGCGAAGGCAGCCUACUAAACUGCCACUGACAUUGAUGCUCGAAAGCGUGGGGAGCAAACAGGAUUAGAUACCCGGGUAGUC
Molecule: ribosomal RNA, 460 nt
Filed under: uncultured bacterium
Lineage: Bacteria
Description: partial 16S ribosomal RNA
Rfam family: Bacterial small subunit ribosomal RNA
Source: RNAcentral